Molecule: ribosomal RNA, 634 nt
Filed under: Hemileucoglossum littorale
Lineage: Eukaryota; Fungi; Ascomycota; Geoglossomycetes; Geoglossales; Geoglossaceae
Description: eukaryotic LSU rRNA
Rfam family: Eukaryotic large subunit ribosomal RNA
Source: RNAcentral
CGCUGAACUUAAGCAUAUCAAUAAGCGGAGGAAAAGAAACCAACAGGGAUUGCCUCAGUAACGGCGAGUGAAGCGGCAACAGCUCAAAUUUGAAAUCUGGUCCUCCACAGGGGCCCGAGUUGUAAUUUGUAGAGGAGGUCUUCGGGUUUGGCCCCGGCCUAAGUUCCUUGGAACAGGACGUCACAGAGGGUGAGAAUCCCGUAUGUGGCUGGAGGUCUAUGCCCAUGUGAAGCUCCUUCGACGAGUCGAGUUGUUUGGGAAUGCAGCUCAAAAUGGGUGGUAAGUUUCAUCUAAAGCUAAAUACCGGCGGGAGACCGAUAGCGCACAAGUAGAGUGAUCGAAAGAUGAAAAGCACUUUGGAAAGAGAGUUAAAAAGUACGUGAAAUUGUUGAAAGGGAAGCGCUUGCGACCAGACUUGCCCUCAGCUGAUCAAUCGGUGUUCAUCACCGGUGCACUCGGCUGUGGUCAGGCCAGCAUCGGUCUAGGUGGUUGGAGAAAGGUCCCGUGGAAUGUGGCUCCCCUCGGGGAGUGUUAUAGCCCGGGGUGCAAUGCAGCCAACCUGGACCGAGGAACGCGCCUUCGGGCUAGGAUGCUGGCGUAAUGGUCGUAAGCGACCCGUCUUGAAACACGGACC